AGUGGAUGGGGAGCAACCUAGUUGUGCGUGUGUAAAGGUAGUGCCAAGAAAAGCGGUGAUCAUGAUGAAAAUCAAUUCCCGGUACCCGAAACCGACACAGGUGGGCAAGUAGAGAAUACUAAGGGGCGCGAGGUAACUCUCUCCAAGGAACUCGGCAAAAUGACCCCGUAACUUAGGGAGAAGGGGUGCCACCGAGAGGUGGUCGCAGUGAAGAGGCCCAGGCGACUGUUUAGCAAAAACAUAGGUCUCUGCAAACUCGAAAGAGGAGGUAUAGGGGCUGACGCCUGCCCAGUGCCGGAAGGUUAAAGAAGUUGGUCAGUCUUAGGAUAAAGCUAGCGACUGAAGCCCCGGUGAACGGCGGCCGUAACUAUAACGGUCCUAAGGUAGCGAAAUUCCUUGUCGGGUAAGUUCCGACCCGCACGAAAGGCGUAACGAUCUGGGCGCUGUCUCGGAGAGAGGCUCGGCGAAAUAGGAUUGUCUGUGAAGAUACGGACUACCUGCAUUUGGACAGAAAGACCCUAUGAAGCUUUACUAUAGCUUGGAAUUGUGUUCGGGCUUCCUGUGCGCAGGAUAGGUGGGAGGCGAAGAAGGUAUUCUUGUGGGGAUACUGGAGCCAACGGUGAGAUACCACUCUCAGGAGGCUAGAAUUCUAACUUAAUUAAGGACAGUUUCAGGUGGGUAGUUUGACUGGGGCGUCGCCUCCAAAAAGGUAACGGAGGCGUACAAAGGUUCCCUCAGACUGGUUGGAAAUCAGUCGCAGAGUGCAAAGGCAGAAGGGAGCUUGACUGCGAGAAGUACAGUUCGAGCAGGGUGGAAACACGGUCUUAGUGAUCCGACGGUGCUGUGUGGAAGGGCCGUCGCUCAACGGAUAAAAGUUACUCUAAGGAUAACAGGCUGAUCUCCCCCAAGAGUUCACAUCGACGGGGAGGUUUGGCACCUCGAUGUCGGCUCAUCGCAACCUGGGGCGGAAGUACGUCCCAAGGGUUGGGCUGUUCGCCCAUUAAAGCGGUACGUGAGCUGGGUUCAGAACGUCGUGAGACAGUUCGGUCCAUAUCCGAUGUAGGCGUGAGAAUAUUGAGAGGAGCCUUCCUUAGUACGAGAGGACCGGGAAGGACGCACCGCUGGUGUACCUGUUAUGAUGCCAAUUGUAAACGCAGGGUAGCCAAGUGCGGAGAGGAUAACCGCUGAAAGCAUCUAAGUGGGAAGCCCACCUCAAGAUGAGUAUUCUGGUGUAAGGUCACGGGAAGACGACCCGUAAAUAGGCACGAGGUGGAAGUGCAGAGAUGUAUGAAGCCGAAGUGUACUAAUAGACCGUCGGCUU
Molecule: ribosomal RNA, 1321 nt
Filed under: metagenome
Description: bacterial LSU rRNA
Rfam family: Bacterial large subunit ribosomal RNA
Source: RNAcentral